This 522-nucleotide ribosomal RNA is filed under the name uncultured marine alpha proteobacterium BY-95. RNAcentral describes it as "bacterial SSU rRNA". It matches the Rfam family "Bacterial small subunit ribosomal RNA", at positions 355 to 895 of the family's 1533-position model. Lineage: Bacteria; Pseudomonadati; Pseudomonadota; Alphaproteobacteria; Rhodobacterales; Paracoccaceae. The record is from RNAcentral.
UGGGGAAUCUUAGACAAUGGGCGCAAGCCUGAUCUAGCCAUGCCGCGUGAGUGAUGAAGGCCUUAGGGUCGUAAAGCUCUUUCGCCUGUGAAGAUAAUGACUGUAGCAGGUAAAGAAACCCCGGCUAACUCCGUGCCAGCAGCCGCGGUAAUACGGAGGGGGUUAGCGUUGUUCGGAAUUACUGGGCGUAAAGCGCGCGUAGGCGGACAUUUAAGUCAGAGGUGAAAUCCCAGGGCUCAACCCUGGAACUGCCUUUGAUACUGGGUGUCUUGAGUUCGAGAGAGGUGAGUGGAAUUCCGAGUGUAGAGGUGAAAUUCGUAGAUAUUCGGAGGAACACCAGUGGCGAAGGCGGCUCACUGGCUCGAUACUGACGCUGAGGUGCGAAAGUGUGGGGAGCAAACAGGAUUAGAUACCCUGGUAGUCCACACCGUAAACGAUGAAUGCCAGUCGUCGGGCAGUAUACUGUUCGGUGACACACCUAACGGAUUAAGCAUUCCGCCUGGGGAGUACGGUCGCAAGAUU